RNAcentral lists this ribosomal RNA (253 nucleotides) under uncultured bacterium. RNAcentral describes it as "partial 16S ribosomal RNA". It matches the Rfam family "Bacterial small subunit ribosomal RNA", at positions 524 to 776 of the family's 1533-position model. The record is from RNAcentral.
UACGUAGGUGGCGAACGUUAUCCGGAAUCAUUGGGCGUAAAGGGUGCGUAGAUGGCAUGAUAAGUUAUUAGUGGGAAAUCGAGGCUCAACCUCGUGGAAGCUGGUAAUACUGUUUUGCUUGAGUGCAGGAGAGGUUAACGGAACUCCAUGUGGAGCGGUAAAAUGCGUAGAUAUCAGGAGGAAUACCGGUGGUGUAGACGGCUCUCUGGACCGCGACUGACGCUGAGACACGAAAGCGUGGGUAGCAAACAGG